UAUAUUUGCACCGCUUUAAUUAGCAACUACAUAACAAUCAUUGAAAUAAUAUUAGCAUG
RNAcentral lists this non-coding RNA (59 nucleotides) under unclassified sequences. Its description in RNAcentral is "S15-Flavobacteria ribosomal protein leader". It matches the Rfam family "S15-Flavobacteria ribosomal protein leader". The record is from RNAcentral.